Molecule: transfer RNA, 76 nt
Filed under: Symmachiella macrocystis
Lineage: Bacteria; Pseudomonadati; Planctomycetota; Planctomycetia; Planctomycetales; Planctomycetaceae
Description: Planctomycetes bacterium CA54 tRNA-Asn
Rfam family: tRNA
About the family: Transfer RNA (tRNA) molecules are approximately 80 nucleotides in length. Their secondary structure includes four short double-helical elements and three loops (D, anti-codon, and T loops).
Source: RNAcentral
UGCGGUGGGGCCUGUGUUGGUACGGGCGGGCGGCUGUUAACUGUCACGACGCAGGUUCGAUUCCUGCCACCGCAGC